AUUGAACGCUGGCGGCAGGCCUAACACAUGCAAGUCGAGCGGAUGAAGGGAGCUUGCUCCUGGAUUCAGCGGCGGACGGGUGAGUAAUGCCUAGGAAUCUGCCUGGUAGUGGGGGAUAACGUCCGGAAACGGGCGCUAAUACCGCAUACGUCCUGAGGGAGAAAGUGGGGGAUCUUCGGACCUCACGCUAUCAGAUGAGCCUAGGUCGGAUUAGCUAGUUGGUGGGGUAAAGGCCUACCAAGGCGACGAUCCGUAACUGGUCUGAGAGGAUGAUCAGUCACACUGGAACUGAGACACGGUCCAGACUCCUACGGGAGGCAGCAGUGGGGAAUAUUGGGCAAUGGGCGAAAGCCUGACGCAGCCAAGCCGCGUGUGUGAAGAAGGUCUUCGGAUUGUAAAACACUUUUAGUUGGGAAGAAGGGCAGUAAGUUAAUACCUUGCUGUUUUGACGUUACCAACAGAAUAAGCACCGGCUAACUUCGUG
This 484-nucleotide ribosomal RNA is filed under the name uncultured bacterium. RNAcentral describes it as "partial 16S ribosomal RNA". It matches the Rfam family "Bacterial small subunit ribosomal RNA", at positions 30 to 507 of the family's 1533-position model. The record is from RNAcentral.